GACGAACGCUGGCGACGUGCUUAACACAUGCAAGUCGAACGGAAAGGCCCUGCUUUUGUGGGGUGCUCGAGUGGCGAACGGGUGAGUAACACGUGAGUAACCUGCCCUUGACUUUGGGAUAACUUCAGGAAACUGGGGCUAAUACCGGAUAGGAGCUCCUGCUGCAUGGUGGGGGUUGGAAAGUUUCGGCGGUUGGGGAUGGACUCGCGGCUUAUCAGCUUGUCGGUGGGGUAGUGGCUUACCAAGGCUUUGACGGGUAGCCGGCCUGAGAGGGUGACCGGCCACAUUGGGACUGAGAUACGGCCCAGACUCCUACGGGAGGCAACAGUGGGGAAUAUUGCACAAUGGGCGGAAGCCUGAUGCAGCAACGCCGCGUGCGGGAUGACGGCCUUCGGGUUGUAAACCGCUUUCGCCUGUGACGAAGCGUGAGUGACGGUAAUGGGUAAAGAAGCACCGGCUAACUACGU
This 467-nucleotide ribosomal RNA is filed under the name uncultured bacterium. RNAcentral's name for it is "partial 16S ribosomal RNA". It matches the Rfam family "Bacterial small subunit ribosomal RNA", at positions 28 to 506 of the family's 1533-position model. The record is from RNAcentral.